GACGAACGCUGGCGGCGUGCCUAAUACAUGCAAGUAGAACGCUGAAGGAGGAGCUUGCUUCUCUGGAUGAGUUGCGAACGGGUGAGUAACGCGUAGGUAACCUGCCUGGUAGCGGGGGAUAACUAUUGGAAACGAUAGCUAAUACCGCAUAAUAGUAGAUGUUGCAUGACAUUUGCUUAAAAGGUGCAAUUGCAUCACUACCAGAUGGACCUGCGUUGUAUUAGCUAGUUGGUGGGGUAACGGCUCACCAAGGCGACGAUACAUAGCCGACCUGAGAGGGGGAUCGGCCACACUGGGACUGAGACACGGCCCAGACUCCUACGGGAGGCAGCAGGAGGGAAUCUUCGGCAAUGGACGGAAGUCUGACCGAGCAACGCCGCGGGAGUGAAGAAGGUUUUCGGAUCGUAAAGCUCUGUUGUAAGAGAAGAACGAGUGUGAGAGUGGAAAGUUCACACUGUGACGGUAUCUUACCAGAAAGGGACGGCUAACUACGUG
RNAcentral lists this ribosomal RNA (495 nucleotides) under uncultured bacterium. Its description in RNAcentral is "partial 16S ribosomal RNA". It matches the Rfam family "Bacterial small subunit ribosomal RNA", at positions 28 to 507 of the family's 1533-position model. The record is from RNAcentral.